This 438-nucleotide long non-coding RNA is filed under the name Fukomys damarensis (Damara mole-rat). Its description in RNAcentral is "lncRNA (ENSFDAG00000024844.1)". Lineage: Eukaryota; Metazoa; Chordata; Mammalia; Rodentia; Bathyergidae. The record is from RNAcentral.
CUAGGUAACUAUGCUCUUUGAGGAAUGUAUCUGAGUAACCAUGACAACUUCUGUAAUCUGUCACCAAAGGAGCAUAAAGGACUCAGAAAGUCCUGCCCGAACUCUUUGCAUCUCACCCUCAUAUCCGCUGUUCUGAUUUGUGUAAAUCUUGCUUGCUACGUUCCCAGGGAAACUCCUAUGAAAUAACUUUCCACUACCUUUAGAUUAAAACCCCCAAAUCCUCACAUGGCUCAUAAGGCUACGGACCCAGCCCCUCUGAUUAUCAACUCUGGCUUCUCCCUUCCUUCCUGCCUACUCUCUGGUCAAUAUAGGCUGGCAUUCCCACAUGGCAAGAGCUUGCUGGGCUGGGAUUAAGAAGCAGCUGUGCUCUGCAGACUGGUGAGUGUCCUCUAGCUGCCCAAUGAAGCUUUCUGUAGUAAUUGAAAUGUUCCGUGUCUG